This is a small nucleolar RNA of Seriola dumerili (greater amberjack), 70 nucleotides long. Lineage: Eukaryota; Metazoa; Chordata; Actinopteri; Carangiformes; Carangidae. The record is from Ensembl.
UAGACUUGUGUUCUGAUUGGCCGACUCUCCGUGAUGAUUAUCCAAUCACCAUCUUUCGGCUGACUGUCUG